ACUCAUUCCUCCGCAGGUUUUCACCGAGACCUACAAAGAGCAGUCACCGACCGUGCCCAGACACCUUGGUGAGCAGGGACAGCCUGGUCGCACUGUUAUAGGAAAGGGGUCCCGAUCCAGACCCCAAGAGAGGGAUCUUGGAUCUUGCUCAAGAAAGAAUUCAGGGCGAGUCUGCGGUGCAAAGGAAAAGCAAGUUUAUUUAGAAAGUCAAGUGGUGAAAGAACAGCUACUCCAUAGACAGAAUAGGGCAUUCCCAAAAGUAAGAGGAGGAAUGCAUCCACCCUAGGUACAGUGCUUGUAUAUAUAUAGGAUAAAAAAAGAUCAUGGGGAGAUGUGCUCUGCUACAGGGUUUGUGAUAAAGGAUUCUUUUUUAAAAUUACCAAAUUUUGCAAGAAUCAAUAUUAUUAUCUUUGAAGCAAAAUUAGGAAUGCCUUUGUUCUCGAGAUAUCGGGAUAUCUGGACACUCCGAAGUUUGGGUUUGUUAGUAAACAUUAUUAAUCCAUUUCCUUAACUGUAAACAUCUAGAGGCUGGGAAUAGCCUUCUGGGAAUGCAAGUCCCAACUUCAUUUUCCUAGCCCUCACUCAAGAUGGAGUCGCUCUGGUUCAAAUGCCUGUGAUACCACCUCUCCAGGCUCCCGGGAUGUUUAAACAAGCCACUCCCAGAGAGGCGAUAUGAAAGGUGCAGGGCAGGCCCUGAGCCCUGGCCACAGGCGAUGCUUAAGCUGAGCCCUGAAAGGAGGAGUAGGAGUUCAGCAGGCAAGUUGUUAGAAGACUCGCAUUUCAAGCAGAAGGUCUGGAAAGACGUGCUGACUGAUCGGCAGGAGGCUGUGAGCUGUGGAUGAUACGGAGACUGCAGAAGCUGAGGCCAUGGAGCUAAGGCGGGCUCAGACUUCCUCCUGAGGGCAACAGGUUUUUAGCUGGGGAGGACCAUGACCAAAUCUGCCUUUCCCAGUCACCUCUCUGAUCUCUUUGAUGCAGUGUAGAUCUGUGCUUAGCAAACUCAGAAGGCCCUGUCACCACCAGGAAGGAAGAGACCCCACGACUGAGGGCAGUGGGCUAUGAGAUUUGUGACCCUUUCCUCUGCCUGCCUCUGCCCCUGCCCAUUGGGACCCUGCUGGACCAGGCAUCCAUCCUAUGGAAAUCUCCAUGAAGCGUCGACCUCCCUGCCCCCCAGGCAUUGGGUGAGUGGCAAGUGAGAGCUGCUCACAGGGCAUCAAAGGGGUUCAAAAUAGCACCCAAGGCCGGGCAUGAUGGCUCACGCCUGUAAUCCCAGUACUUUGGGAGGCUGAGGUAGGCGGAUCACCUGAGGUCAGGAGCUCAAGGCCAGCCUGGCCAACAUGGAGAAACCCCGUCUCUACUAAAAAUACA
Molecule: long non-coding RNA, 1368 nt
Filed under: Homo sapiens (human)
Lineage: Eukaryota; Metazoa; Chordata; Mammalia; Primates; Hominidae
Description: HSALNT0391071
Source: RNAcentral